ACUUGACUAACUUCUCAAUACAAUGCUGGUGGAGAGCAGCUAACAACUGUGCCAGCGGCGCUCGGAAGACGAUGAGCUGAACCGCAAGGAUACUUGCGGCAAGGCGACGGACUAAUCACCCCUGUGUCAAGAGCGUGCACUUUCUCUCAAUGUAAACCAAAUGCAACAUAUAGGUCGUGAGCAGAAUAUGGGGCGGUUUAAUCGCCGCACCAAUCUGAGUUAGGUGGUAGCCCGCAAGCGCCGCAAACCUUAGAAAUGCACCAAGCUCUUAGCCGUGACGGGCAGAAAUGUCCUAUAAGACCUUAAUGAUUUGGGUAAUCUCGCUUAAGGCUAGUCCAGACAAGAAAAAUUUGACGAACCUUAGAAUAGGUAAUUAACUUUUAUACGGAACGUAGGUGAGAUUUGCGGGUAAAGGUAAUCCCGCCGCAGACCAGCCCGCAAGGGUGGGGCUUCAAGCUGUCGAGUCGCUCUCGGCAUCUCCGUGGAGUCUCCUGCGUGGCAGAACGGAGCAUUGAAUAAGAGGGUACUCGGAAGUCUGAGAGGACGACGAGUGGGAAGG
Molecule: non-coding RNA, 559 nt
Submitted as: unclassified sequences
Source: Rfam